CACUCCCCGCAACCCAGUCCGCCCUUGAUGUCAGCCAUUUUACAUAGCAAUCGCGACUGAAUUCGUCCCCAAAAGUAUUUAGCAAUCAGGCCUAACGUUAAAUACACAUUUCUAUUUAACAACCGGGUGACAUUCGAAAAUGGAGACCGAAGGCCAGGUUGACUUCAGUACAGACGAGUUUCCAGAGGGCUCCAAGAUAAAUGCAAGCAAAAACCAGCAGGACGACGGCAAGAUGUUCAUUGGAGGGCUCAGUUGGGACACCAGCAAAACAGACCUCACGGAUUACCUGUCGAAGUUUGGAGAGGUUCUGGACUGCACCAUCAAAACAGACCUGAUGACGGGCCGGUCCCGGGGCUUCGGCUUUGUUCUCUUCAGAGACUCAGAGAGUGUAGACCGGGUGUUGGAGCUGAAGGAGCACAAGCUGGACGGGAAGCUGAUCGAUCCAAAGAGGGCCAAAGCCAUGAAGGGGAAGGAACCGCCCAAGAAGGUGUUUGUUGGAGGCCUCAGCCCAGACACCCCAGAGGAGGAAAUCAGAGAAUACUUUGGCGCUUUUGGAGAUAUUGACAGCAUCGAGCUUCCCAUGGACACCAAAACCAACGAGCGACGUGGGUUUUGCUUUGUGACCUACUGUGAGGAGACUCCUGUUCAAAAGCUGUUGGAGUGCAGAUACCACCAAGUUGGGAGUGGAAAGUGUGAAAUCAAAGUGGCCCAGCCCAAAGAAGUGUAUAGACAGCAGCAACAACACAGAGGAGAGCGGGGAGGCUACGAAGGAGGGAGAGGAGGUGGCGGAUACAGGGGCCGGGGACGAGGAGGUCAGAGUAACUACAACCAAGGUUACAACGGCUACUACAGCCAGAACUAUGGUAGCUACGGCAAUGGAUACAACCAGGGCUACAAUGGCUACGCGGGCUAUGACUACUCUGGCUACAACUAUAAUAGUUAUGGUUAUGGACAGGGAUACGACGACUACAAUGGCCAGCAGAGCAGCUAUGGGAAGGCCUCUCGAGAGGUCACAACCCACCAGAACAACUACCAGCCUUACUGAGCUGAUCUGAUCCAACAGGACCUGCUUAGAAUUCUGCGGGGACUUCAUUGCAGGCCGUGUGUCGCCUGAUCACGACAAUCUCUGGGCGACGCACAUAGCGGGCAGAGAGCACGGCAUGCACAAGAAAACGCUGUCCUGUGACGGGCUGGCUGGAGAAUGACCCUGUACCCAGGUGGAAGUUUUGGGGGCUGAAUCCUGUCCUGUCCUCAGAUCAGCUCAUGUUUUAAACACCAGGCCCAUAUUUCGUUGUCCUCUUCCUGAGUUGAAGCUGGCAUGCAGUGUGUCUGACUUUGUAAAUAGCGAGGUUGCAGCUUUUUGGUUCCAGUCCCCCCCUUCCCUUCAUCUUGUAGGUUUCAUGUAAUGUGUUCUUAUCACCUUGAUUUUCAACCUGUCCUGCUUUUGUUUUAAACGUGGAUUUUCUGCAGUUUUUUUGGAUAAAGGGAUUAUUAAAGAGGGUACAAAACUC
Molecule: RNA transcript, 1511 nt
Organism: Oncorhynchus mykiss (rainbow trout)
Lineage: Eukaryota; Metazoa; Chordata; Actinopteri; Salmoniformes; Salmonidae
Gene name: heterogeneous nuclear ribonucleoprotein D-like
Source: RefSeq, a predicted model, not a curated record